AAAAAACCCAACAGAAACUGGCCAUUCUGGGUAUUUUUAGCUCUUUGCAAAAGACCACUAACAUCUCUUUCUCUCUCCCUUUUUUUUUGUUUUGUUUUGUUUAACUCCCUGAAGACUGUCUGCUCUUUGGGGCUGCCUUCGAUACUGCAUCAUUAGCAUCACAUCUCUGCAGUGAAGGUCUCGGCAGUAACCUUCGCCAAGCCUCACUGCCCAGCCCGGCGUUCGCCUGUUCCUGAGACGAGGGGAGCAAUUGUCAGCUGGAAAUGCCACAGGCAGCAGGGCUCGAUGGUGCUCGAUGUACCUCUGAUGAGUCUGAAAGCACCUGGACUUUGGCACCGCAAACUCUUCAGGCUUUGGUGACUUCAGCUUACAGAUACAUAUGUUGUUUUGCAAAGGAGGUGUUGGCUUCUGCAUGUGUUUCUCAUUUCAGAAAUGGCAAGGAUACAGCAGAGACCAAAAUGAAAUCCUCCUUAUUGUCCAGAAGGAUGGAUAACUGCAAGGAAAGAUUAUUCCACAGCGCUGGAAAAAGAAGAUCUACUUGCUCAGUGACCUGGUGGUGAGGUACUGGCUCUGCUUCAUACAGAGGCUGGAAGCCAGGGGAGAUUUUGGGUUACGAAGAGGGCUGGGCAGCGUUUGCUGCCCUCCCUGCUCCAUUCCUGUAUCACUGUCAGCUUAGAUUCCAUAUCAAGAGGGUGAUGUUGUGGCUGGCGGCGACAAUAGCAGAAUGUCACUGGCGGAGGUGAAAUCUUUCCCUCCAUGAAGGUACUUUUUCCUUUCCCUUCCCCAUGGCUUACACCAAGAGCCGCUGGCUCCCAGUGCCAAGCGGGACAUGUACACGUGCUUCUCAAGGGACAGGGUAUACUGUCCUGAGCAUCACUUUUCUUGCUGCGUCGGCAAGCCGUUCUGUGUCAUCGAUGCCUCUUUGUGCGGUGACCUGGCACAGAGGGAAACCCCUCGUUACUGUCUGAGAUAAACCGGGAGCAUUGGGAGCUGCCGUGUCUGCCAUCACGGCAGCAUUGCACAGAGCAGCCCUUUGCCAUGCUGGUGCUCUUGUGCCAGCGGGAGGUCUGCCAGGGGUGUCCCUUCAGAGGCCCAGGGGCCAUCUGUGCUCUUCAGGGGCCAGGCCUGAACUAAGGCAGGGUCCGAGGGGCAGGCAAACGUGCUGAUGGCUCCUAUUCUCUGCAGGCUGUCUCUCACCUCCUCUGAACAGGAGCUAAUCUUGUAGAAGAGCGCCUGUGCCCACACCCUUCCAGCAGCUCCUCUGCCAGCCUGCUGUCCUCAAGGGCUGGUUCAGCAAAGCCUUAGUGCUGUUCUGGGUCCAGCUUUCAUUUUCCAGUGGGUUACGGAGGAAAGAAUGAAGGUAGCUGCCACUGCCAGGCAAUGCUAGAAAACAGAGGCAGGGGAGACAGGCCUCUGUGCACUUAAAGAUCCAAGAGCUUAAUCUGAAUCUGGUUCUCUAUUAGACCUGAUCCUGUCUUGCAUCUUUUCCAGCUGAUGCCUGAGCCUGUCUUUGGCUUGGUGUUUGUUUUUUUUUUUUUCUCCUUUCCCCCUUUUUUCCUCACCUUAUGAAAAAUGGCUUUGCCAUCUGCAUCUGUCAGGAGUCCGCUGAGCUGGGUGUACGGCUCAGUGAAUAUACAAAUGUGUGGUUGGAUCACGGCCCUCCCUGACAGGCCAGAGAUGAAUACCAAACGUGCAGGGAGAAGAGUGCGUUCCCUUCCUCUGCUGCUGCCGCCUCUGAUGGUUGUUUUUCUUAUCCCAAGGAGGCGUAAGAAUCGCCUUUGGGAGCAGUGCUUCCUUCUGCUCCUGUUCCGCCUUGCCAGGGAUCAGUUCUCUGCCAUCCGUCAUCAGAUGAGUCCUCUCCUUGCUCUCACAUCUCAGCUGCUGAUGGGAAUGCCAGGGAAGGGGUAACUGGUUUACCCUGAUUGAUUUUUCCUACCACCUUCUUCCCUCUCCCUUUUGCAUUCCACCACCUAGGCCGGUUACAAGGCCAUCAGCAGGCUGGGGCUUGAGGACACUUGCCUUUGCUUGCUGGUCCAGGUGCUUUUUAAGAGAGAUAAGGAUGAGGUAGAGGGGAGGGGAUUGUUCAGCUUUACCCAUGUGGCUUAAAAUGUAAUUUUGAAUGGGAGUGUUCAGCAGUGUCAUGCAUGACUCCACGUAAGAUGUGCUGAGAGCACCCAAGCACUCCUGCAUGCCUGGGCUUCACGGUGGCCCCUUUCCCUGCUGUAGGUGACCAGCGUGGUGGGGCUCUGCAAGGAGGAAUGCUCCAGCUGUGAGAUCAGCAGUUGCCGUCACUCUGCAGGCUCACUCAGGUACCCAAAGGGAGCUGACAACCUGCCUUGACCCCUGUGGAUUUGCUCAGCUCCUCCUGCUUCUUGGAUUUCUGCAGUCUGUUCAACACUCUGAAUAAUGAGCCUGCGAGCCAGAGGGAGAGCUCCCGGGAGAGGCGCCUGUGUUGCAGAAGGACACAACAGGUGUCUCGGAUGGGCCAAUAUCUGAAGCGAUUUCUCUCUAAUUUUCUACAUCAGUGAGAACACAGCACGGUGCCAUCAAUCAUAGUCAACCUCCCCUCGGAAAGCCACCUCCUGCCUCACCGUACUGCAGCGUCCCCUCUCCUCUUCUGCCCCUGGUUGGGGGACCACAGGUGUCCUGGCCAGCAGUGCCUGGCAGGCGUCUUCUCUCCCGGGGUGGAGGGUUCUUUUUUGUUGUGUUUGACCCUGCUUGCGUUUCUGCCGUUCUCCUUCCUCCACCCCUGGCACGUAUUCCUAGCCAGUGCUUUACUUCCAGGCUGUAUCUCCCCUUCCUGGAGUCAGAAAAGGCCAAAUACCCCUUUUAUCCACAAUGAGGAGAAGGUGUGGAGCUGCUUCUCCUGGGAGAAGCACUUCUCCUGCUGGAGGAGUGAUGGGGGGUGGUUUUGGUGCCUGUACUGCUCAUCUGGGGACGGGUCGGUUGGGCUUUACAGCUCCCCUGAGGCUGCUCCUGCAAGUAGUGACCAUCAAGGCAUGUUCUGGGAUUGCUGGUGCCUGGCUUCUUCACCCCAGCCCCAGCUCUGGGCGUGGAACACCAGAGAGAGCCAUCUUUCGUGUUGGACCGGUGGUGCGAUGCAGCAGCUCUCGGUCUCUUGGUUUCUCCUUUUGUGAAGUCCUCUGCUCCUUCCAGGCCUGGCCAUUUUUCCAGCCGGCCCAGGGGCACCACUUUGGCAGCAGUACUGGUGGUGGAUGUCCUCCUGAGCAGGCCCGGGCCAGAUGCGCUCUGCAGCUGGCCAGAAGGCUGGUGGGCCGUGGAUCUGCGCUCGUGGCUUGCUCUUCUACUGGAGCAUGGACAUAGCUGAUGGAUUUAAUGGCUCUUGCUUCUUCAUCUCUCAUGGGCUAGACUGGGUGCUCUUGUUCAAUUGUGGUGGCUCUUGAACUUACCAAAACCUGGCUAACUGAUGCCAGCUGUCAUGACACAAAAGUGGUUUGCAAGUCCCGUUUCUGGCUCCGUGGGUUCAAGCACCAGCUAGAACCAAGAAUGGUGCUUCUUUCUUGAGCAGAGCCCUAGACAGAAGCAUCUUCUGAAUAAAGCCAUGCGUUGCCACCUGCCUCUCAGCCUCUUAAACUGGCUUCUGAGAGCUGCCAAGG
Molecule: long non-coding RNA, 3617 nt
Organism: Falco peregrinus (peregrine falcon)
Lineage: Eukaryota; Metazoa; Chordata; Aves; Falconiformes; Falconidae
Exons: 3
Source: RefSeq, a predicted model, not a curated record